RNAcentral lists this transfer RNA (63 nucleotides) under Tinca tinca (tench). RNAcentral's name for it is "tRNA-Asp". It matches the Rfam family "tRNA", at positions 1 to 62 of the family's 71-position model. From Rfam's summary of the family: Transfer RNA (tRNA) molecules are approximately 80 nucleotides in length. Their secondary structure includes four short double-helical elements and three loops (D, anti-codon, and T loops). Lineage: Eukaryota; Metazoa; Chordata; Actinopteri; Cypriniformes; Tincidae. The record is from RNAcentral.
AAGACAUUAGUAAAAUGAAAAUUACAUCACCUUGUCAAGAUGAAAUUACAGGUUAAACUCCUG